This 136-nucleotide non-coding RNA is filed under the name uncultured spirochete. Its description in RNAcentral is "FMN". It matches the Rfam family "FMN riboswitch aptamer (RFN element)". Rfam says of the family: The RFN element is a highly conserved domain that is found frequently in the 5'-untranslated regions of prokaryotic mRNAs that encode for flavin mononucleotide (FMN) biosynthesis and transport proteins. This element is a metabolite-dependent riboswitch that directly binds FMN in the absence of proteins. In Bacillus subtilis, the riboswitch most likely controls gene expression by causing premature transcription termination within the 5' untranslated region of the ribDEAHT operon and precluding access to the ribosome-binding site of ypaA mRNA. The record is from RNAcentral. Lineage: Bacteria; Pseudomonadati; Spirochaetota; Spirochaetia; Spirochaetales.
AUUGAUCUUCAGGGCGGGGUGCAAUUCCCCACCGGCGGUAAAGCCCGCGAGCGAAGAAAACGGAAACGCCGUUUUUAUAGCAUGAUUCGGUGAAACUCCGAAGCCGACAGUAUAGUCUGGAUGGAAGAAGAUACAU